Molecule: long non-coding RNA, 1149 nt
Filed under: Capsicum annuum
Lineage: Eukaryota; Viridiplantae; Streptophyta; Magnoliopsida; Solanales; Solanaceae
Description: long non-coding RNA (CANN_LNC008107)
Source: RNAcentral
AAUUUGUUUAUAUUAAUAAUUUAUUUAUAUAAUAAUUUACUUUUGCCUUUAUUUUUAACUCAUAGUUAUUUUUUAAAAAUCUGUUGUCACGUUUUUUUUUAAUUGGUUAUUUUUAUCAAGUCACGCGAGUGUGUUGCAUUCUAUAUCUUUUGCUGAUUGUCCAAAAAAGGCCUAAAUGGAUAAAAAUUCGGGUGAGUUAGAGGCCUGAUAGGUACAGGUCUGAGUUGAAGGGUUUAAGUAAAAUUUUAGGACAACUUAAAGGGGCUACCGAUGACUUAAACCUACAAUAAUUAACAACUUAGAUAUUUAUAGGUUUAAGUCAUCGAUAGCCUCUUAAACUUGUUUCAAAAUUUCACAAUUUAGUCUUGAACCUAUUGAACACCCAAAUAAUUCAAAUGUAUACCUAUUAGGCACAAAUUACUGGUGUGGCAAAAAAAGUGUAAAUUAGGCGCGUGUUGAGUAUCAAUUAAUAUUUUAUUUUUAUUUUUAUUAAAAAAAUUAUACUUAAAUUAUUUUAUUAAUAUAUUCUUUAAUAAAUAAUAAUUUCUUAAUUUUUUAAAGAAAAAAGUGUCCCCCCAACCCAUCGUCUUCACGUCCCCCUCCCCUCCCCCAAUUUAAGUAACGAUAUUUGGAAAACGGAGGUUCAAUUCCGGCGAUCUUUGACUCCACCAAUUUUGAAUUUGGCUGUACUAAUUAUGUAGUCUUUGACUCUAACAUUUCUCUAAUCCCUGCAAUUCGGCUGUACCAAUACUUCAUCAAUUUCGGGCGGCGAUUUCACAGUUGACGCCAUCCAAUUUCGAUGCAAAUCUUUGUUGUUGUGGACGCGCCGCCGCCGCCGCCGCCACCUUUCCCGCCGCCUCGUCCAGUCUCUCAGGUUGCCCAGAACUUGCAAGACCUUGAGUUCUACAAAUCACCUUUCACAUCACUCUGAAAUUUGAACAAUAAUUAGCUUGUUAAAAAAUCUAAUGAGAUGCAUACCAUAUUGAGAAAAGUUUCUGUAUUUUCUGCCUGAAAUUUUGUCUAUCCAGAAUCUUAAUAGGUAGAAAGCUUCCACGUUAUGAAUAGGUAGAGUCCAAUUGUAGGGAGUUCCAAGGAAGAAGAAGGGAGAUUCCGUGUGGGUGGGUUGGAAGGGGAGCGUGGGAAGUUAGG